Hyalella azteca is the source of this 479-nucleotide long non-coding RNA. RefSeq lists it as uncharacterized. The transcript is spliced from 3 exons. NCBI's taxonomy places the organism in Eukaryota, Metazoa, Arthropoda, Malacostraca, Amphipoda, Hyalellidae. The record is from RefSeq and is a predicted model, not a curated record.
CCAGUGCUGUUCCUGUUGAUGCUGGUAGUGGCUGGCGUGUCUGCCAGCGACCUGCCCCAAGAAUUUGCAGUGGAACAAAUAAAUGAAGCCGGGCGGUUCCUAGUACUACUUGACCGAGCAACGAGAACAUCACUCGUACUCGUCUCUACGACCUCAACUAAGUCCUGUUUCCCAAUUACAGUUAGUACCACUACGAUCGAGACGACUGGUCCCGGUGGCCGACAACGUCGCUUCGCACGAGGAAGGUUGGACACCAAGGCAGAGGAACCACCCGCCAUGGCGCCGGCUGAACUCGCAGGGUCUCUGCUGGAAGAUUACUUAGCAAUCCAAGCCAGGGGCGGGAAGUUUCUUCUAGGCUUCCCGACUGUGACGCUGAAUUAUAGCACUCGGUCAACGGCUACACUACUAUCUAUAUCAACGACCAUCCUCAACUCCCAGGAAUUAAUAUCCUUCGUGACAAAUCUUCCAAACGGUGUCUU